Molecule: non-coding RNA, 259 nt
Organism: Cyanistes caeruleus (blue tit)
Lineage: Eukaryota; Metazoa; Chordata; Aves; Passeriformes; Paridae
Source: RefSeq, a predicted model, not a curated record
CCUGCAGGAGUUCCAGGCGCUGCGGGAAUGCUUCGCCCGGGCGGCAAAGGCGACACCGACGUGACCCCGGAGCCGCCCCCGCCUGGACGCGCCCGGGGACAUUAAAAGCCUCAAAUCCAUCGGUUUGUCCUCAGCUGACGGAACCCCCCCGAGUCCCGGAGCUGCUCACCCGCUCCCCGGCCCGGAGGAGCUGCAGCCCCGGGCUGGGUGAGGGUCACAGAUCUAUUUUUAUUUAUUAAAAAGAAGAACAUAAUUCAGA